Molecule: long non-coding RNA, 327 nt
Organism: Coregonus clupeaformis (lake whitefish)
Lineage: Eukaryota; Metazoa; Chordata; Actinopteri; Salmoniformes; Salmonidae
Exons: 3
Source: RefSeq, a predicted model, not a curated record
UUUUAUUGUUUUACCUUGUUUUGGUUUCAACCCGUCCAGUUGGUGGCGGCAAUACACCUUUUGGGGUUGUAGUCCGCCAUAAAAUCCACAGAAGAAGAAGAUAUUUUCUGAAACAGGGAAGAGAAGGCUGUCAUAGUAUAUGCAAGGCUUGUAGCCGUGGCGUUUCUCAGGGGCAUACAUUGUGUUGUACUGACUGCAGAUUCUUGGUACCAACAUGAGAGCUGGAGGCAUCUUGAAGUUUGCUGCAUUGGUUUCGGUCUUUUUCCUGGCAGUUUUCCUUGCCUUCCAGCUGCUGGAAAUUAAUAUGGACUUCAAUUUGGGGAAUGU